GCGCAUUAGCUAGUUGGUGAGGUAACGGCUCACCAAGGCAACGAUGCGUAGCCGACCUGAGAGGGUGAUUGGCCACACUGGGACUGAGACACGGCCCAGACUCCUACGGGAGGCAGCAGUAGGGAAUCUUCCGCAAUGGACGAAAGUCUGACGGAGCAACGCCGCGUGAGUGAUGAAGGUUUUCGGAUCGUAAAGCUCUGUUGUUAGGGAAGAACAAGUACCGUUCGAAUAGGGCGGUACCUUGACGGUACCUAACCAGAAAGCCACGGCUAACUACGUGCCAGCAGCCGCGGUAAUACGUAGGUGGCAAGCGUUGUCCGGAAUUAUUGGGCGUAAAGGGCUCGCAGGCGGUUUCUUAAGUCUGAUGUGAAAGCCCCCGGCUCAACCGGGGAGGGUCAUUGGAAACUGGGGAACUUGAGUGCAGAAGAGGAGAGUGGAAUUCCACGUGUAGCGGUGAAAUGCGUAGAGAUGUGGAGGAACACCAGUGGCGAAGGCGACUCUCUGGUCUGUAACUGACGCUGAGGAGCGAAAGCGUGGGGAGCGAACAGGAUUAGAUACCCUGGUAGUCCACGCCGUAAACGAUGAGUGCUAAGUGUUAGGGGGUUUCCGCCCCUUAUUGCUGCAGCUAACGCAUUAAGCACUCCGCCUGGGGAGUACGGUCGCAAGACUGAAACUCAAAGGAAUUGACAGGGGCCCGCCAAGCGGUGGAGCAUGUGGUUUAUUUGAACCAACUCGAAAAACCUUA
RNAcentral lists this ribosomal RNA (745 nucleotides) under Bacillus subtilis. RNAcentral's name for it is "bacterial SSU rRNA". It matches the Rfam family "Bacterial small subunit ribosomal RNA", at positions 236 to 973 of the family's 1533-position model. Lineage: Bacteria; Bacillati; Bacillota; Bacilli; Caryophanales; Bacillaceae. The record is from RNAcentral.